RNAcentral lists this ribosomal RNA (491 nucleotides) under uncultured bacterium. RNAcentral describes it as "partial 16S ribosomal RNA". It matches the Rfam family "Bacterial small subunit ribosomal RNA", at positions 29 to 507 of the family's 1533-position model. The record is from RNAcentral.
AGUGAACGCUGGCGGUAGGCCUAACACAUGCAAGUCGAACGGCAGCACAGUAAGAGCUUGCUCUUACGGGUGGCGAGUGGCGGACGGGUGAGGAAUACAUCGGAAUCUACUUUUUCGUGGGGGAUAACGUAGGGAAACUACGCUAAUACCGCAUACGACCUACGGGUGAAAGCAGGGGAUCUUCGGACCUUGCGCGAAUGAAUGCGCCGAUGUCGGAUUAGCUAGUUGGCGGGGUAAAGGCCCACCAAGGCGAGGAACCGUAGCUGGUCUGAGAGGAUGAUCAGCCACACUGGAACUGAGACACGGUCCAGACUCCUACGGGAGGCAGCAGGGGGGAAUAUUGGACAAUGGGCGCAAGCCUGAUCCAGCCAUACCGCGUGGGUGAAGAAGGCUUUCGGGUUGGAAAGCCCUUUUGUUGGGAAAGAAAAGCAGCAGGUUAAGACCCCGCUGUUCUGACGGUACCCAAAGAAUAAGCACCGGCUAACUUCGUG